Molecule: ribosomal RNA, 856 nt
Filed under: uncultured bacterium
Lineage: Bacteria
Description: bacterial SSU rRNA
Rfam family: Bacterial small subunit ribosomal RNA
Source: RNAcentral
AGAGUUUGAUCAUGGCUCAGAUUGAACGCUGGCGGCAGGCUUAACACAUGCAAGUCGAACGGUAACAGGAAGAAAGCUUGCUUUCUUUGCUGACGAGUGGCGGACGGGUGAGUAAUGCUUGGGAAUCUGGCUUAUGGAGGGGGAUAACUACGGGAAACUGUAGCUAAUACCGCGUAGUAUCGGAAGAUGAAAGUGUGGGACCGCAAGGCCACAUGCCAUAAGAUGAGCCCAAGUGGGAUUAGGUAGUUGGUUAGGUAAAGGCUGACCAAGCCGACGAUCUCUAGCUGGUCUGAGAGGAUGACCAGCCACACUGGAACUGAGACACGGUCCAGACUCCUACGGGAGGCAGCAGUGGGGAAUAUUGCACAAUGGGGGGAACCCUGAUGCAGCCAUGCCGCGUGAAUGAAGAAGGCCUUCGGGUUGUAAAGUUCUUUCGGUGAUGAGGAAGGUGUUUGUUUUAAUAGAACAAACAAUUGACGUUAGUCACAGAAGAAGCACCGGCUAACUCCGUGCCAGCAGCCGCGGUAAUACGGAGGGUGCGAGCGUUAAUCGGAAUAACUGGGCGUAAAGGGCACGCAGGCGGUGACUUAAGUGAGAUGUGAAAGCCCCGAGCUUAACUUGGGAAUUGCAUUUCAUACUGAGUCGCUAGAGUACUUUAGGGAGGGGUAGAAUUCCACGUGUAGCGGUGAAAUGCGUAGAGAUGUGGAGGAAUACCGAAGGCGAAGGCAGCCCCUUGGGAAUGUACUGACGCUCAUGUGCGAAAGCGUGGGGAGCAAACAGGAUUAGAUACCCUGGUAGUCCACGCUGUAAACGCUGUCGAUUUGGGGAUUGGGCUUUGAGCUUGGUGCCCGUAGCU